Molecule: ribosomal RNA, 215 nt
Filed under: Eucoccidiorida sp.
Lineage: Eukaryota; Apicomplexa; Conoidasida; Eucoccidiorida
Description: partial small subunit ribosomal RNA
Rfam family: Eukaryotic small subunit ribosomal RNA
Source: RNAcentral
GGUAAUUCCAGCUCCAAUAGCGUAUAUUAAAAUUGUUGCAGUUAAAAAGCUCGUAGUUGAAUUUUUGCUAGAAAUAACCGGUCUGCUUUUAUUAAUAAGAGUGGUACCUUGGUGUGUUUUUAGCAAUAAUGUCCUUUGAAAUGUGUUUUACUUUAUUGUAAAAGCAAUAUUCAGGAUUUUUACUUUGAGAAAAUUAGAGUGUUUCAAGCAAGCUA